AUUGCACAUUGUUGGAGCUUGGAGUUGGUGCCCUAACUAGCUGACAAACUUGCAAGUGUAGGUAGUGUGCUAUGUGAGGGGCAAAUUUUUCACUAACAUGACAAAGGUCUUUGGCCUAGUGAGUAGAGUUUGACAAUAAUCCUUGCUACAAGU
Molecule: small nucleolar RNA, 153 nt
Organism: Cercocebus atys (sooty mangabey)
Lineage: Eukaryota; Metazoa; Chordata; Mammalia; Primates; Cercopithecidae
Source: Ensembl